This 924-nucleotide long non-coding RNA is filed under the name Homo sapiens (human). RNAcentral's name for it is "non-protein coding ADNP-AS1:3". Lineage: Eukaryota; Metazoa; Chordata; Mammalia; Primates; Hominidae. The record is from RNAcentral.
GCGGCCGCGGGUGCUGCCGGGGGGCGCGGCGGGCGCAGCAGAGCGGCGGGCGGCGGCGGCGUCGUCGAGCGACAAUACAAGCGCCUCGGACCGAGUCCCCGAACCUGCCCUAGCCAAAAUGGCGGCCGAGAAAGAGCGGAAGUGACGUUAAAGAGGCUUUUGUAUACUGGAGAUAUAACCAAAAAAGGUCUAAGGUGACUUUACGCAGAGAUUGAAGGAUGAGCAGCAGAUGGUCAUCAAGGAGCAUGGAAACAGCAUUUCAGGCAAAGGAAAAUGGAACUCUGUGAACUCAGAAGCAUGCUAUGGCAUGGAAAGCAAAAAGGAAGGAGCACAAGGCAGAGGUCAGAAAGGGAGGCAGGGGCCAACAAACACAUAGGGGCUUGAGGGACAAGGGAAGGAACUUGGAUUUUUCCCUAGAUGUUAGUGGGAACUCCCUGAACUCCCUGAACUGGAGGGACAAUAAUCUGAUUCUGUUUUUAUGUAUCUAGCUUAAACUCAGAACAGCUUCCAAAAUCUUAUUCACAGAGGUUUUGUGGUCUUUUGGGCUAAGAAUUUAAUUAUAUUGCCUACAAACAAAUAUAACUGUGUAUAUUUUACUAACAUUUAACUAAAUUCUUAUCUUACUGUAUUAACAUUUCCAUGUUUAAUGAUAGCUAGCAUGCCUGUAUUAAUGCAUGUAUUGGAAAUGAUUCAGCAUUUCACUAUUUGGUGUGGUAUUUGUAUUAGGACUGGGUUAUUUUUAUUAUGCUUAAGAGGUUUCCUUCUAUUCUUAAAGUUUUAACUAGAAAAUGGUAGUAAAUAAUAUCUCCUUUAGCAUCUACAGACUUAACCACACUACUUUGUUAACAUAAUGAAUGAAUUAUAAGUGAUUACCAAUAAUGAGCCAUUCUGGCAUUCCUGGAAUAAACCCUUUUGUUCACGGUG